UUAAGUCCCGCAACGAGCGCAACCCUCGCCCUUACGUUGCCAGCAUUUAGUUGGGCACUCUAAGGGGACUGCCGGUGAUAAGCCGAGAGGAAGGUGGGGAUGACGUCAAGUCCUCAUGGCCCUUACGGGCUGGGCUACACACGUGCUACAAUGGUGGUGACAGUGGGCAGCGAGCACGCGAGUGUGAGCUAAUCUCCAAAAGCCAUCUCAGUUCGGAUUGCACUCUGCAACUCGAGUGCAUGAAGUUGGAAUCGCUAGUAAUCGCGGAUCAGCAUGCCGCGGUGAAUACGUUCCCGGGCCUU
This 302-nucleotide ribosomal RNA is filed under the name uncultured Ochrobactrum sp. RNAcentral describes it as "bacterial SSU rRNA". It matches the Rfam family "Bacterial small subunit ribosomal RNA", at positions 1080 to 1382 of the family's 1533-position model. The record is from RNAcentral. Lineage: Bacteria; Pseudomonadati; Pseudomonadota; Alphaproteobacteria; Hyphomicrobiales; Brucellaceae.